GACGAACGCUGGCGGCGUGCCUAAUACAUGCAAGUCGAGCGAUGAUUAAAGAUAGCUUGCUAUUUUUAUGAAGAGCGGCGAACGGGUGAGUAACGCGUGGGAAAUCUGCCGAGUAGCGGGGGACAACGUUUGGAAACGAACGCUAAUACCGCAUAACAAUGAGAAUCGCAUGAUUCUUAUUUAAAAGAAGCAAUUGCUUCACUACUUGAUGAUCCCGCGUUGUAUUAGCUAGUUGGUAGUGUAAAGGACUACCAAGGCGAUGAUACAUAGCCGACCUGAGAGGGUGAUCGGCCACACUGGGACUGAGACACGGCCCAGACUCCUACGGGAGGCAGCAGUAGGGAAUCUUCGGCAAUGGGGGCAACCCUGACCGAGCAACGCCGCGUGAGUGAAGAAGGUUUUCGGAUCGUAAAACUCUGUUGUUAGAGAAGAACGUUAAGUAGAGUGGAAAAUUACUUAAGUGACGGUAUCUAACCAGA
Molecule: ribosomal RNA, 479 nt
Filed under: uncultured bacterium
Lineage: Bacteria
Description: bacterial SSU rRNA
Rfam family: Bacterial small subunit ribosomal RNA
Source: RNAcentral